This 450-nucleotide ribosomal RNA is filed under the name uncultured bacterium. RNAcentral describes it as "partial 16S ribosomal RNA". It matches the Rfam family "Bacterial small subunit ribosomal RNA", at positions 354 to 796 of the family's 1533-position model. The record is from RNAcentral.
GUGGGGAAUUUUGGACAAUGGGCGAAAGCCUGAUCCAGCCAUGCCGCGUGCAGGAUGAAGGCCUUCGGGUUGUAAACUGCUUUUGUACGGAACGAAACGGUCCGGGUUAAUACCCUGGGCUAAUGACGGUACCGUAAGAAUAAGCACCGGCUAACUACGUGCCAGCAGCCGCGGUAAUACGUAGGGUGCAAGCGUUAAUCGGAAUUACUGGGCGUAAAGCGUGCGCAGGCGGUUUUGUAAGACAGGCGUGAAAUCCCCGGGCUCAACCUGGGAAAUGCGCUUAUGACUGCAAGGCUGGAGUGCGGCAGAGGGGGAUGGAAUUCCGCGUGUAGCAGUGAAAUGCGUAGAUAUGCGGAGGAACACCGAUGGCGAAGGCAAUCCCCUGGGCCUGCACUGACGCUCAUGCACGAAAGCGUGGGGAGCAAACAGGAUUAGAAACCCGGGUAGUCC